RNAcentral lists this unclassified non-coding RNA (407 nucleotides) under uncultured Archaeorhizomyces. Its description in RNAcentral is "sequence contains ITS2". The stretch from base 1 to 152 matches the Rfam family "5.8S ribosomal RNA". Lineage: Eukaryota; Fungi; Ascomycota; Archaeorhizomycetes; Archaeorhizomycetales; Archaeorhizomycetaceae. The record is from RNAcentral.
AACUUUUGGCAAUGGAUCUCUUGGCUCUCGCAUCGAUGAAGAACGCAGCGAAGCGCGAAAUGUAAUGUGAAUCGCAGAACAUUGUGAAUCAUCGAAUCUUUGAACGCACAUUGCGCCUCCCUGAGAGGGGAGGCAUGCCUGUCUGAGCGUCGUUCGAAUCAAAUGCAAGAGGGCGUCUUUCUCUCGCGAGGAGGCGUGCCCCCAUGCGUCUUGGGCCCAUCCGUCGUCGACCCGCUAGUCGGGACGACGUGGCCUCGAAUGGAUAGUUCCUGUGUAGAACGGACGAGCUCCCCUGGGACAACGGACCGUUUGAAGGACUCAUGAGAAAGGGGUAAUUCCCUGAACCUUUCGACCUCAGAUCAGGUAGGACCACCGCCUGAACUUAAGCAUAUCAAUAAGCGGAGGCU